Molecule: ribosomal RNA, 253 nt
Filed under: uncultured bacterium
Lineage: Bacteria
Description: partial 16S ribosomal RNA
Rfam family: Bacterial small subunit ribosomal RNA
Source: RNAcentral
UAUGAAGGGGGCUAGCGUUGCUCGGAAUCACUGGGCGUAAAGCGCACGUAGGCGGAUCUUUAAGUCAGGGGUGAAAUCCUGGAGCUCAACUCCAGAACUGCCUUUGAUACUGGGGAUCUCGAGUCCGGGAGAGGUGAGUGGAACUGCGAGUGUAGAGGUGAAAUUCGUAGAUAUUCGGAAGAACACCAGUGGCGAAGGCGGCUCACUGGCCCGGUACUGACGCUGAGGUGCGAAAGCGUGGGGAGCAAACAGG